UCCGUCCUACGGGGCGCAGCAGUGGGGAAUAUUGCACAAUGGGGGAAACCCUGAUGCAGCGACGCCGCGUGAGCGAUGAAGUAUUUCGGUAUGUAAAGCUCUAUCAGCAGGGAAGAAAAUGACGGUACCUGACUAAGAAGCCCCGGCUAACUACGUGCCAGCAGCCGCGGUAAUACGUAGGGGGCAAGCGUUAUCCGGAUUUACUGGGUGUAAAGGGAGCGUAGACGGCAU
This 231-nucleotide ribosomal RNA is filed under the name uncultured bacterium. Its description in RNAcentral is "partial 16S ribosomal RNA". It matches the Rfam family "Bacterial small subunit ribosomal RNA", at positions 333 to 581 of the family's 1533-position model. The record is from RNAcentral.